AUGCUUGUGUUGGCAGCAUAUAUACUAAAACUGGAACAGUGCAGAAAAGAUGAACAUGAACUAUGCUCCAGUAUGACAUGCAAAUUCACAAAGCAUUCUAUAUAUAU
Molossus molossus (Pallas's mastiff bat) is the source of this 107-nucleotide small nuclear RNA. The record is from RefSeq and is a predicted model, not a curated record. NCBI's taxonomy places the organism in Eukaryota, Metazoa, Chordata, Mammalia, Chiroptera, Molossidae.